GAUUUUUCUCCCUGUCACUUCUUUCUCUUGACGGAGGUUGUCACAGAGGCAGGAGCUGGAGAGGACUAGGAAGAUCUUCUCUGCAUUGCCACACUCUCCCUAACCUUGCUAGGAGUUAACACUGGGCCCCCCACUCCCAGUCAUCUCAACCAAGAUCAUCAAGCUUCUUGGAAAUCUCAGGAGACUGAAAUUCUUGCUUAGCAUCCUUAUAUUGCCAUGAUUCUCUUUCUGACUAAAGAUCUCAACCUUGAUGUCUAUUUACACAAAAACAAAUCUAAGGUAGCAGCAAGAUAAGCAUGGAUGGGGAAGAUGCUAGCAACUGUGACAACCAGGACCAAAGAUGGAAAUUGCCUGGCCAAAUCCUCCAUGCAGAGCUUGAGUCCUGGAAAUUUCAGGUGCCAGGUAUGGAGCAUUCAAAUGAAAAAGUCACCGAGUCAUAGUCAUACAAACAUCACAGCUGAGCUUUGAACUCAGAUGUCCCUGGUACAAUUACAACUGUACUACGCUUCCAGUGAAGGUGAGGUUUUGAUUUGUGCUCUAAGUAUAGG
Molecule: long non-coding RNA, 548 nt
Filed under: Phascolarctos cinereus (koala)
Lineage: Eukaryota; Metazoa; Chordata; Mammalia; Diprotodontia; Phascolarctidae
Description: lncRNA (ENSPCIG00000020908.2)
Source: RNAcentral